This 234-nucleotide ribosomal RNA is filed under the name uncultured bacterium. RNAcentral's name for it is "partial 16S ribosomal RNA". It matches the Rfam family "Bacterial small subunit ribosomal RNA", at positions 118 to 347 of the family's 1533-position model. The record is from RNAcentral.
UGAGCAAUCUGCCCUUAACUCUGGGAUAAGCCUGGGAAACUGGGUCUAAUACCGGAUAUGACUCCUCAUCGCAUGGUGGGGGGUGGAAAGCUUUAUUGUGGUUUUGGAUGGACUCGCGGCCUAUCAGCUUGUUGGUGAGGUAAUGGCCCACCAAGGCGACGACGGGUAGCCGGCCUGAGAGGGUGACCGGCCACACUGGGACUGAGACACGGCCCAGACUCCGUACGGGAGCAG